CCAACCCAGCCAGUGCCCUGUGGUAGAAUGUCUCACUCAGGUCAGAGAGUACAGCAGGAAGAGGGGGCUUGAGGGGGCACCUUCCACCCAUCCCCAUGGCUGACACCCCUUCCGCAACUCGGGAAGGUCCCUGAAGGACCUCAGGACCCAGUUCACCAAACUCCUCAAGCUUUAUAGCCGUGGGAGCUCUCCCAAGUGCUAGGUGGUAGAUGCGCACUGGAGAACAAGUCCCAGUCCCAGACCUGGAGGACUUACAAGGCAUGUAGAGAAGCUGCUGGACCCGCCAAGGCUUCUCUCUACAGUCAGAUGUCUCUGGGCUUAGAAGAUGUACUCUGAGACUGGGGACCCAGGCCUGGACAGGCCACUGCCUUACCCAGUAGCUUCGUGCAAGUCACCUGUAUUUGAGACUCAGCUACCUGCUCUGCAGAACUGCAGUAACGGUGUGGAUCCAUUGACUUCAGAGGGUAAGAUGGCCCUGACUCUCGUGCCUGAGUUUCUAAACUGUGAGACAGUGGCUGCUCUACCAGUUAGAAAUCAGAAGUUUUAGUCUAUCCUGCUGUUCGCUUAUUCAGCAAGUAUUUGUCAACAGCUAUGGUGUGUGCCUACCCAGGCACUCAGACUCAGCCACAGUCUACAGACCUCCCGCUUCCUGACCACUUGCUCUGAAAAUCUGGGUUGUGAUCUCAAAACCUAAAGACUUCCCAAUCCCACGUCCUGACCUCCGUGUCUUGUUUGGAAUAUCGCAACCCCCAAUCCUGUACCCC
RNAcentral lists this long non-coding RNA (764 nucleotides) under Homo sapiens (human). RNAcentral describes it as "HSALNT0148204". Lineage: Eukaryota; Metazoa; Chordata; Mammalia; Primates; Hominidae. The record is from RNAcentral.